GACGAACGCUGGCGGCGUGCUUAACACAUGCAAGUCGAACGGAAAGGCCCUGCUUGCAGGGUACUCGAGUGGCGAACGGGUGAGUAACACGUGGGUGAUCUGCCCUGCACUUCGGGAUAAGCCUGGGAAACUGGGUCUAAUACCGGAUAGGAGCCAUUUUUAGUGUGAUGGUUGGAAAGUUUUUUCGGUGUAGGAUGAGCUCGCGGCCUAUCAGCUUGUUGGUGGGGUAAUGGCCUACCAAGGCGGCGACGGGUAGCCGGCCUGAGAGGGUGGACGGCCACAUUGGGACUGAGAUACGGCCCAGACUCCGACGGGAGGCAGCAGGGGGGAAUAUUGCACAAUGGGCGCAAGCCUGAUGCAGCGACGCCGCGUGGGGGAUGACGGCCUUCGGGUUGUAAAAUCCUUUCGCUAGAGACGAAGCUUUUUGUGACGGUACCUAGAUAAGAAGCACCGGCUAACUACGUG
Molecule: ribosomal RNA, 465 nt
Filed under: uncultured bacterium
Lineage: Bacteria
Description: partial 16S ribosomal RNA
Rfam family: Bacterial small subunit ribosomal RNA
Source: RNAcentral